GUUUUAAUAGUUUAACGAAAACUUUGGUCUUGUAAACCAAAAAUGAAAUUUUUUUCUUAAAACU
RNAcentral lists this transfer RNA (64 nucleotides) under Pilumnus vespertilio. RNAcentral describes it as "tRNA-Thr". It matches the Rfam family "tRNA". From Rfam's summary of the family: Transfer RNA (tRNA) molecules are approximately 80 nucleotides in length. The record is from RNAcentral. Lineage: Eukaryota; Metazoa; Arthropoda; Malacostraca; Decapoda; Pilumnidae.